UUUUAUUUCCUAAUCUAAUAUCCUUAAUUUUGUUUAAAGUCAUCAUGGGUUUAGUUGUCGGGAUCUUGACAAAUGGUGUUAUCUUGAGCCAAAUCAUCAUCAUAUACCAGAAGCCAACAAAGAAAGAAGGAAAACAAUAGAAGAUCAGCAAUGUGACUAUCUUUAAAUGCAAAGUUCCUCUAGAAAACCCGAUUAGCCGUCAGAGUUUGCAUACAGAACCUUUCUUUGGUUUGACAGCGUUUAUGAUUGUUAUUAUUUCUUUUUCAAAUGCAUAUGAACAGAGACAAUUAUUCGAAAGUGAUAAUAAACACUGGAAAGCCAGACUUAUACGCUGCCCAAACUUACUGUGAUUUUUUACUAGAAACUCUACAGAAAAGUGGAUUGAGCUUGAACCCACACAAUUCUGGCAUUCACUGCUAUUCAUGGAUCAGAUUCAAACAAGCGAUGAUUCCCGAGUGGAUAUAGUGUCAUGAUGGAAUAUUACAGAAAGGAUGAAAUUGUUGCACAAUUUAUUCAAAUUUGGAUGAAAUCGGUGGUACGAAUUUGUUCGAAUUUAAGAUUGAAACACGGCUAUAUUCUAUCCUAUAUCUAAAAUGUUUCAAUCUCAUCAAUCUUUUUUGUUUGUAUUACUUAAAAUCGACACUACAGGACCACAGAAAUGGUUGCAGGAUCAUUUCCUGCUGAACUUUUUGAAAUGGGUUUCUAGAUGCUGAUUAAUUGUUUUGCUUCUUGAAGUUUAGUAUGCUAGGCUACUAUUAGUGUGAU
RNAcentral lists this long non-coding RNA (765 nucleotides) under Helianthus annuus (common sunflower). The record is from RNAcentral. Lineage: Eukaryota; Viridiplantae; Streptophyta; Magnoliopsida; Asterales; Asteraceae.